Molecule: ribosomal RNA, 465 nt
Filed under: uncultured bacterium
Lineage: Bacteria
Description: partial 16S ribosomal RNA
Rfam family: Bacterial small subunit ribosomal RNA
Source: RNAcentral
GACGAACGCUGGCGGCGUGCUUAACACAUGCAAGUCGAACGGAAAGGCCCUGCUUGCAGGGUACUCGAGUGGCGAACGGGUGAGUAACACGUGGGUGAUCUGCCCUGCACUUCGGGAUAAGCCUGGGAAACUGGGUCUAUUACCGGAUAGGUGCCAUGUUUAGUGUGAUGGUUGGAAAGUUUUUUCGUUGUAUGAUGAGCUCGCGGCCUAUCAGCUUGUUGGUGGUGUAAUGGCCUACCAAGGCGGCGACGGGUAGCCGGCCUGAGAGGGUGGACGGCCAAAUUGGGACUGAGAUGCUGCCGAUGCUCCUACGGGUGGCAUCGAUGAGGAAGAAUGCACAAUGGGCGAAGGCCUGAUGCAGAGGCGCCUCGUGGGUGAUGACGGCCUUCGGGUGGUAAAAACCUUUCGCUAGGGACGAAGCGUUUUGUGACGGUACCUAGCUAAAAAGCACCGGCUAACUACGUG